RNAcentral lists this ribosomal RNA (253 nucleotides) under uncultured bacterium. Its description in RNAcentral is "partial 16S ribosomal RNA". It matches the Rfam family "Bacterial small subunit ribosomal RNA", at positions 524 to 776 of the family's 1533-position model. The record is from RNAcentral.
UACGGGGGGGGCAAGCGUUGUUCGGAAUUACUGGGCGUAAAGGGUUUGUAGGUGGCUUGCUAAGUCAGACGUGAAAUCCCUCAGCUUAACUGGGGAACUGCGUCUGAGACUGGCAGGCUUGAGUGCAGGAGAGGAACGCGGAAUUCCAGGUGUAGCGGUGAAAUGCGUAGAUAUCUGGAGGAACACCGGUGGCGAAGGCGGCGUUCUGGACUGUAACUGACACUGAGGAACGAAAGCCAGGGGAGCAAACGGG